UACGUAGGGCGCAAGCGUUGUCCGGAAUUAUUGGGCGUAAAGAGCUCGUAGGCGGUUUGUCGCGUCUGCUGUGAAAACCUAAGGCUCAACCUUGGGCUUGCAGUGGGUACGGGCAGACUAGAGUGCGGUAGGGGUGACUGGAAUUCCUGGUGUAGCGGUGGAAUGCGCAGAUAUCAGGAGGAACACCGAUGGCGAAGGCAGGUCACUGGGCCACAACUGACGCUGAGGAGCGAAAGCGUGGGGAGCGAACAGG
Molecule: ribosomal RNA, 253 nt
Filed under: uncultured bacterium
Lineage: Bacteria
Description: partial 16S ribosomal RNA
Rfam family: Bacterial small subunit ribosomal RNA
Source: RNAcentral